AUUGAACGCUGGCGGCAUGCCUUACACAUGCAAGUCGAACGGCAGCAUGAUCUAGCUUGCUAGAUUGAUGGCGAGUGGCGAACGGGUGAGUAAUACAUCGGAACGUGCCCUGUAGUGGGGGAUAACUAGUCGAAAGAUUAGCUAAUACCGCAUACGACCUGAGGGUGAAAGUGGGGGACCGCAAGGCCUCAUGCUAUAGGAGCGGCCGAUGUCUGAUUAGCUAGUUGGUGAGGUAAAGGCUCACCAAGGCGACGAUCAGUAGCCGGUCUGAGAGGACGAUCAGCCACACUGGGACUGAGACACGGCCCAGACUCCUACGGGAGGCAGCAGUGGGGAAUUUUGGACAAUGGGCGAAAGCCUGAUCCAGCAAUGCCGCGUGUGUGAAGAAGGCCUUCGGGUUGUAAAGCACUUUUGUCCGGAAAGAAAUGGCUCUGGUUAAUACCUGGGGUCGAUGACGGUACCGGAAGAAUAAGAACCGGCUAACUACGUG
RNAcentral lists this ribosomal RNA (490 nucleotides) under uncultured bacterium. RNAcentral describes it as "partial 16S ribosomal RNA". It matches the Rfam family "Bacterial small subunit ribosomal RNA", at positions 30 to 507 of the family's 1533-position model. The record is from RNAcentral.